Molecule: long non-coding RNA, 442 nt
Organism: Hyla sarda
Lineage: Eukaryota; Metazoa; Chordata; Amphibia; Anura; Hylidae
Exons: 3
Source: RefSeq, a predicted model, not a curated record
AAAGAAAAUGCUGUAAUGCCUGUAAGGCUGGAUCUCAAAGGAUAAAAAGGAAUAAAGCUUGAAUAAUUUUUUUACUCCAAGUCGGGAGCCGGAAACCCUGUUUCUUUGUUUGCCAAUCAGUACACCUGAGGACCCAGGCUCAGUGCUUUGUUUUCAGGCUUCCACGAGGAGAGGUUGUGCUGGACGUUUGGAUUCUAAAAACAGAUCUUCAAGCUGACGAUGUGUAAGUGGUGGGAGCUGAGGAGUUCCAGAAUAUCUUCUUUUGAUUGCACUUGAAGGUGAAGCAGAACAUGAACUGAUAUCAAAGGUUUCCCGAGACCUCUGUAAGAAGAGACAUUAGGUUUACAUUAUACUUUUUCAGAAAAACUAGAAGAGUUCAUUUUAAUAAAUAAAUAACUAAACCACGAGGAAUAUAUAUCGUACAUACAAAAAUAAAUUCAUA